Molecule: ribosomal RNA, 1294 nt
Filed under: Escherichia coli
Lineage: Bacteria; Pseudomonadati; Pseudomonadota; Gammaproteobacteria; Enterobacterales; Enterobacteriaceae
Description: partial 23S ribosomal RNA
Rfam family: Bacterial large subunit ribosomal RNA
Source: RNAcentral
GGACCAUCCUCCAAGGCUAAAUACUCCUGACUGACCGAUAGUGAACCAGUACCGUGAGGGAAAGGCGAAAAGAACCCCGGCGAGGGGAGUGAAAAAGAACCUGAAACCGUGUACGUACAAGCAGUGGGAGCCUCUUUUAUGGGGUGACUGCGUACCUUUUGUAUAAUGGGUCAGCGACUUAUAUUCUGUAGCAAGGUUAACCGAAUAGGGGAGCCGAAGGGAAACCGAGUCUUAACUGGGCGUUAAGUUGCAGGGUAUAGACCCGAAACCCGGUGAUCUAGCCAUGGGCAGGUUGAAGGUUGGGUAACACUAACUGGAGGACCGAACCGACUAAUGUUGAAAAAUUAGCGGAUGACUUGUGGCUGGGGGUGAAAGGCCAAUCAAACCGGGAGAUAGCUGGUUCUCCCCGAAAGCUAUUUAGGUAGCGCCUCGUGAACUCAUCUCCGGGGGUAGAGCACUGUUUCGGCAAGGGGGUCAUCCCGACUUACCAACCCGAUGCAAACUGCGAAUACCGGAGAAUGUUAUCACGGGAGACACACGGCGGGUGCUAACGUCCGUCGUGAAGAGGGAAACAACCCAGACCGCCAGCUAAGGUCCCAAAGUCAUGGUUAAGUGGGAAACGAUGUGGGAAGGCCCAGACAGCCAGGAUGUUGGCUUAGAAGCAGCCAUCAUUUAAAGAAAGCGUAAUAGCUCACUGGUCGAGUCGGCCUGCGCGGAAGAUGUAACGGGGCUAAACCAUGCACCGAAGCUGCGGCAGCGACGCUUAUGCGUUGUUGGGUAGGGGAGCGUUCUGUAAGCCUGUGAAGGUGUACUGUGAGGUAUGCUGGAGGUAUCAGAAGUGCGAAUGCUGACAUAAGUAACGAUAAAGCGGGUGAAAAGCCCGCUCGCCGGAAGACCAAGGGUUCCUGUCCAACGUUAAUCGGGGCAGGGUGAGUCGACCCCUAAGGCGAGGCCGAAAGGCGUAGUCGAUGGGAAACAGGUUAAUAUUCCUGUACUUGGUGUUACUGCGAAGGGGGGACGGAGAAGGCUAUGUUGGCCGGGCGACGGUUGUCCCGGUUUAAGCGUGUAGGCUGGUUUUCCAGGCAAAUCCGGAAAAUCAAGGCUGAGGCGUGAUGACGAGGCACUACGGUGCUGAAGCAACAAAUGCCCUGCUUCCAGGAAAAGCCUCUAAGCAUCAGGUAACAUCAAAUCGUACCCCAAACCGACACAGGUGGUCAGGUAGAGAAUACCAAGGCGCUUGAGAGAACUCGGGUGAAGGAACUAGGCAAAAUGGUGCCGUAACUUCGGGAGAAGG